AAUGAACGCUGGCAGCAUGCCUAACACAUGCAAGUCGAACGAAGGCUUCGGCCUUAGUGGCGCACGGGUGCGUAACGCGUGGGAAUCUGCCCUUUGGUUCGGAAUAACAGCUGGAAACGGCUGCUAAUACCGGAUGAUGACGAAAGUCCAAAGAUUUAUCGCCAGAGGAUGAGCCCGCGUUGGAUUAGGUAGUUGGUGGGGUAAAGGCCUACCAAGCCGACGAUCCAUAGCUGGUCUGAGAGGAUGAUCAGCCACACUGGGACUGAGACACGGCCCAGACUCCUACGGGAGGCAGCAGUGGGGAAUAUUGGACAAUGGGCGCAAGCCUGAUCCAGCAAUGCCGCGUGAGUGAUGAAGGCCCUAGGGUUGUAAAGCUCUUUUACCCGGGAAGAUAAUGACUGUACCGGGAGAAUAAGCCCCGGCUAACUCCGUG
This 433-nucleotide ribosomal RNA is filed under the name uncultured bacterium. RNAcentral describes it as "partial 16S ribosomal RNA". It matches the Rfam family "Bacterial small subunit ribosomal RNA", at positions 29 to 507 of the family's 1533-position model. The record is from RNAcentral.